Apus apus (common swift) is the source of this 1918-nucleotide long non-coding RNA. RefSeq lists it as uncharacterized. NCBI's taxonomy places the organism in Eukaryota, Metazoa, Chordata, Aves, Apodiformes, Apodidae. The transcript has 2 exons. The record is from RefSeq and is a predicted model, not a curated record.
CAGAGCAGUGCUCAGAAAGUGAUCUCCAUGCCUGGAAGCAAUGGAGGGAUUCUUCAGGAAGCCAGAAGAAAUCACCUUCCAUGACAACAGCCAGCAAGUAGGAAUAAAAAUAAAAGUUUCAACUUCUGCUUUCUGUUCCCAGACAGAUGGGCCAGCUGAGUAAGGGAGAACUCUUCAGCUCAGAUCUGCAGAGGACCAUGCAUCUCAUCUGCCUCUCUCCUCCCAGCACUGGCAAAGCGUGAAUUGCUUUUGACACACGGAUGGCUCAAGGGCCCAAAAAGCAGUUAGAAGCAGAUGGGAUAAGUGAAGGAAGGAAAGAAAGGAACAAAGAAAACAGAGGCCAAGAGUUACCCGGCAUCGCUUCUGUUCUGCGCUGUGAGAACAGACUUAGGGAGCAGAAGAAACAUCUGUUUGGAAACUGCCUUCGUCUCAAUCCAAAUGCUGGAACAGCAGAAAAGAGGGAAGUUGAGAACUGCCAGCACACCUCGUGCUUUAUCUCACACUUGGGUGGCUGAAGAGGAGGGAUCUGGGAGGAUGAGUUUAGUUUAAGGAUUGCUCACUGGUUCACCUGCUGCCCAUCUGUCUUUGUAGCCCUUGCUUGGAGGGACAGACUGGAGCACUGCUGUCCUCUCCCCUUGCAGGAAUUACUUGUGAUUUGAACUUCUGAAGAGAGGAGCAGAGCAAUUAUCAAGCAUUAAGUGCGCAGUAGAGAUUAGUCCAAUAAUUUAUCAAAGGUAAUAGUUAUUCAGAGACACAAAAAACGCACUCCCAGCCCUCCCAGAGCCUCCCAGAGCCUCAUGUCAGAGUUGUCACCUUAACAAAAGUGUUAGAAGAAAUUCUUGGACCACAGCAGCAAAUGUAUUAGCCAGAAGCUGAUAAACACUUCCAGGAGUCCCCUAGUCAAAAAUAAAUCACACAAAUCAAGUUGCAAAUACUGGAUCUUUAAUAAAAAAAAAUGAAGUUGGUGGAGUGGAUGCUAGAACAAUGUUAGGAUUCAGCUGGCAGGAUGAAAGAGCUUGGCUUUCAUUGAGUCUGACCCCCCCAUUACCAGAGGGAGCAGGGCUUGGCCAUGGCCCUGUGCCAGCACUGCACUAGACAGUCAUCACACAACAAUGAUUAAUGAACUCUUGAAAGAAUAAAGCAAGAAAUGGGAAGUCAGGGAAUUGAGGUAAUCAACUAAAGAAAAAAAACCAUAAAGAUUCAUCAAAAUCAGAGGCAGAAAGCACCUCCUAGGUCACAGACUCCAUGUGUCUGCCAAUGUAGAAGUGGCUCCCACAGUGCUGCUCUGGCAGUUUCCUUUCAAGACCUAAGCAAUAAGCUUCACUCCGUGCCACUUACCCAAUUUCACCCUAAUAUUAAACUAAAAAUUGUAUUUAGCCUUUGAAAUUCAAAAAUGAAGGAACCAGAAGAGCAGACCGCUGUCUACUGCUUUAUCAGCCAAGGAGUUGCCUUUCCAAAAAUCAGUCUUCCAAAUUACUCUGCUGUGCAGCCACUGAUGGGAGUGGGCAGAUCCACACCCUGCAGUGACCAUGCUCUGGUUGCUGAAGGGCUCACUAACACACAGAACACCUGAUGGAGAAUAUAAUCAGUGACAGCAAUGAUGUUCCAGGACUGAGAAAUCCUAACGUAGUACCAGUACUGGAAGAAGGCCUUCAAGAAAGCCAAAACAGCACCAGAAAUCAGCCAAGGAUUUGUUUAGGUUUAUGUAGCACAGUGCUGAACUAACAUAAGGACCUGUCCUUCCUAGGUAACUGCCGAGGAAAAUAGAGGUUCAGAUGGAAGAAGAGCCAGAAACAUCCAUAUUUCCAUGGGAAGCAUUUUAUUUGUGAGCUGGGCUGGCUAAGCCAGACAGCAGGAGGGUUUCAGGAUGGAUGAAAUGUGGUUACAUUAUAAUUAUCUUUUGUUACUUGGCAAAGUA